RNAcentral lists this non-coding RNA (21 nucleotides) under Caenorhabditis elegans. Lineage: Eukaryota; Metazoa; Nematoda; Chromadorea; Rhabditida; Rhabditidae. The record is from RNAcentral.
UGCUCGCAUGAUAUAAUUGAU